Molecule: ribosomal RNA, 690 nt
Filed under: uncultured bacterium
Lineage: Bacteria
Description: bacterial SSU rRNA
Rfam family: Bacterial small subunit ribosomal RNA
Source: RNAcentral
AACGCUAGCUACAGGCUUAACACAUGCAAGUCGAGGGGCAGCACAGUGUAGCAAUACAUGGGUGGCGACCGGCGCACGGGUGCGUAACGCGUAUCCAACCUUCCCGUUACUCAGGGAUAGCCUUCCGAAAGGGAGAUUAAUACCUGAUGGUGUUGAAAUUCCGCAUGUUAUUUCAACUAAAGAUUUAUCGGUAACGGAUGGGGAUGCGUGACAUUAGGUAGAUGGCGGGGUAACGGCCCACCAUGCCUACGAUGUCUAGGGGUUCUGAGAGGAAGGUCCCCCACACUGGAACUGAGACACGGUCCAGACUCCUACGGGAGGCAGCAGUGAGGAAUAUUGGUCAAUGGUCGGAAGACUGAACCAGCCAAGUAGCGUGAAGGAUGAAGGUUCUAUGGAUUGUAAACUUCUUUUAUACGGGAAUAAAACCUCCCACGUGUGGGAGCUUGUAUGUACCGUAUGAAUAAGCAUCGGCUAACUCCGUGCCAGCAGCCGCGGUAAUACGGAGGAUGCGAGCGUUAUCCGGAUUUAUUGGGUUUAAAGGGAGCGUAGACGGGGGGUUAAGUCAGUUGUGAAAGGCUGCGGCUCAACCGCAGCACUGCAGUUGAUACUGGUUUCCUUGAGUUCGGUUGAGGUGUAUGGAAUUCGUGGUGUAGCGGUGAAAUGCUUAGAUAUCACGAAGAACUCCGAUUG